UACGGGGGGGGCAAGCGUUGUUCGGAAUUACUGGGCGUAAAGGGCUCGUAGGCGGCCAACUAAGUCAUACGUGAAAUCCCUCGGCUUAACCGGGGAACUGCGUCUGAUACUGGAUGGCUAGAGGUUGGGAGAGGGAUGCGGAAUUCCAGGUGUAGCGGUGAAAUGCGUAGAUAUCUGGAGGAACACCGGUGGCGAAGGCGGCAUCCUGGACCAAUCCUGACGCUGAGGAGCGAAAGCCAGGGGAGCAAACGGG
This 253-nucleotide ribosomal RNA is filed under the name uncultured bacterium. Its description in RNAcentral is "partial 16S ribosomal RNA". It matches the Rfam family "Bacterial small subunit ribosomal RNA", at positions 524 to 776 of the family's 1533-position model. The record is from RNAcentral.